CCUACGGGUGGCAGCAGUGGGGAAUAUUGGGCAAUGGGCGCAAGCCUGACCCAGCAACGCCGCGUGAAGGAAGAAGGCUUUCGGGUUGUAAACUUCUUUUCUGGGGGACGAAGAAAGUGACGGUACCUCAGGAUUAAGCCACGGCUAACUACUGCCAAGCAGCCUCGGUAAUACGUGGGUGGCAAGCGUUAUCCGGAUUUCUUGGGUGGAAAGGGCGUGUAGGCGGGAAAGCAAGUCAGUUGUGAAAACUCAGGGCUCAACCCGGAACCUGCAUUUGAAACUGUUUUUCUUGAGUGCUGGAGAGGCAAGCGGAAUUCCGGGUGUAGCGGUGAAAUGCGUAGAUAUACGGAGGAACACCAGUGGCGAAGGCGGAUUGCUGGACAGUAACUGACGCUGAGGCGCGAAAGCGUGGGGAGCAAACAGGAUUAGAUACCCUAGUAGUC
This 443-nucleotide ribosomal RNA is filed under the name uncultured bacterium. RNAcentral's name for it is "partial 16S ribosomal RNA". It matches the Rfam family "Bacterial small subunit ribosomal RNA", at positions 338 to 795 of the family's 1533-position model. The record is from RNAcentral.